RNAcentral lists this ribosomal RNA (379 nucleotides) under uncultured bacterium. RNAcentral describes it as "bacterial SSU rRNA". It matches the Rfam family "Bacterial small subunit ribosomal RNA", at positions 29 to 400 of the family's 1533-position model. The record is from RNAcentral.
AACGAACGCUGGCGGCGCGCCUAAUACAUGCAAGUCGAGCGAGAAGACGUAGCAAUACGUUUGUAAAGCGGCGAACGGGUGAGGAAUACAUGGGUAACCUACCCUCGAGUGGGGAAUAACUAGCCGAAAGGUUAGCUAAUACCGCGUACGCUCCUUGGACUUCGGUUCAGGGAGGAAAGCGAUACCGUGGGUAUCGCGCUCUUGGAUGGGCUCAUGUCCUAUCAGCUUGUUGGUGAGGAACGGCUCACCAAGGCUUCGACGGGUAGCUGGUCUGAGAGGACGAUCAGCCACACUGGCACUGCGACACGGGCCAGACUCCUACGGGAGCAGCAGUAAGGAAUAUUGCGCAAUGGGCGAAAGCCUGACGCAGCGACGCCGC